UCCGUAGGUGAACCUGCGGAGGGAUCAUUAA
RNAcentral lists this ribosomal RNA (31 nucleotides) under Hypocreales sp. CanS-67. Its description in RNAcentral is "Verticillium sp. CanS-67 partial 18S ribosomal RNA". Lineage: Eukaryota; Fungi; Ascomycota; Sordariomycetes; Hypocreales. RNAcentral also lists the same sequence under 3 other names. The record is from RNAcentral.